Molecule: unclassified non-coding RNA, 215 nt
Filed under: Hevea brasiliensis (rubber tree)
Lineage: Eukaryota; Viridiplantae; Streptophyta; Magnoliopsida; Malpighiales; Euphorbiaceae
Source: RNAcentral
UUUUGGGGGCCAGAUCAUAUGAACAGGUAUGAAUGCUUCAAAGCUCGUCCAAUUUUGUUUGGACUUGUGAUAAAUCUUAGUCAAUUGGAUGCCUCAAAUUGUUUGGUAAGCCCCUAUCUUAAAACUCAAAAACUGUCGUUGUUCUUUACUCUGUGUGGUAUUGAGGUUUAUGAAAAAAUUGUUACACUAUCUUACGCUAGUCUCUGCAACUCCAG